AUCUGGGUAGCUCAGUCUGUAAGGCAUCUGACUUCGGCUCAGGUCAUGAUCUCAUGGUUCAUGGGUUCGAGCCCCAUAUCAGACU
RNAcentral lists this transfer RNA (85 nucleotides) under Felis catus (domestic cat). It matches the Rfam family "tRNA". From Rfam's summary of the family: Transfer RNA (tRNA) molecules are approximately 80 nucleotides in length. Their secondary structure includes four short double-helical elements and three loops (D, anti-codon, and T loops). Lineage: Eukaryota; Metazoa; Chordata; Mammalia; Carnivora; Felidae. The record is from Rfam by way of RNAcentral.